GCAUAACGCGAAGAACCUUACCCACCUUUGACAUGUAUGGAAUCCCGAAGAGAUUUGGGAGUGCUCGCAAGAGAGCCAUAACACAGGUGCUGCAUGGCUGUCGUCAGCUCGUGUCGUGAGAUGUUGGGUUAAGUCCCGCAACGAGCGCAACCCUUGCCAUCAGUUGCUACGAAAGGGCACUCUGAUGGGACUGCCGGUGACAAACCGGAGGAAGGUGGGAUGACGUCAAGUCCUCAUGGCCCUUAUAGGUGGGGUCUACACACGUCAUACAAUGGCCGGUACAAAGGGCAGUGAAGCCGCGAGGUGAAGCCAAUCCCAUAAAGCCGGUCGUAGUCCGGAUCGCAGUCUGCAACUCGACUGCGUGAAGUCGGAAUCGCUAGUAAUCGUGGAUCAGCAUGUCACGGUGAAUACGUUCCCGGGUCUUGUACACACCG
This 434-nucleotide ribosomal RNA is filed under the name uncultured bacterium. RNAcentral describes it as "bacterial SSU rRNA". It matches the Rfam family "Bacterial small subunit ribosomal RNA", at positions 954 to 1392 of the family's 1533-position model. The record is from RNAcentral.